UCCAGACUCCUACGGGAGGCAGCAGUGAGGAAUAUUGGUCAAUGGGCGCGAGCCUGAACCAGCCAAGUCGCGUGAGGGAUGACGGUCCUACGGAUUGUAAACCUCUUUUGCCGGGGAGCAAGCGUGCGUUCGUGAACGCGCGUCGAGAGUACCCGGAGAAAAAGCAUCGGCUAACUCCGUGCCAGCAGCCGCGGUAAUACGGAGGAUGCGAGCGUUAUCCGGAUUUAUUGGGUUUAAAGGGUGCGUAGGCGGGAUGCCAAGUCUGAUGUGAAAUACCGGGGCUCAACCCCGGGGCUGCAUUGGAAACUGGCAGGCUGGAGUGUCGGAGAGGCAGGCGGAAUUCCUGGUGUAGCGGUGAAAUGCGUAGAUAUCAGGAGGAACACCGGCGGCGAAGGCGGCCUGCUGGACCGCGACUGACGUUGAGGCUCGAAAGCGUGGGGAGCGAACAGGAUUAGAUACCCGGGUAC
This 467-nucleotide ribosomal RNA is filed under the name uncultured bacterium. RNAcentral's name for it is "bacterial SSU rRNA". It matches the Rfam family "Bacterial small subunit ribosomal RNA", at positions 330 to 793 of the family's 1533-position model. The record is from RNAcentral.